CACCGGAGCUUGCUCCACCGAAAGAAAAGGAGUGGCGAACGGGUGAGUAACACGUGGGUAACCUGCCCAUCAGAAGGGGAUAACACUUGGAAACAGGUGCUAAUACCGUAUAACAAUCGAAACCGCAUGGUUUUGAUUUGAAAGGCGCUUUCGGGUGUCGCUGAUGGAUGGACCCGCGGUGCAUUAGCUAGUUGGUGAGGUAACGGCUCACCAAGGCCACGAUGCAUAGCCGACCUGAGAGGGUGAUCGGCCACAUUGGGACUGAGACACGGCCCAAACUCCUACGGGAGGCAGCAGUAGGGAAUCUUCGGCAAUGGACGAAAGUCUGACCGAGCAACGCCGCGUGAGUGAAGAAGGUUUUCGGAUCGUAAAACUCUGUUGUUAGAGAAGAACAAGGAUGAGAGUAACUGUUCAUCCCUUGACGGUAUCUAACCAGAAAGCCACGGCUAACUACGUGCCAGCAGCCGCGGUAAUACGUAGGUGGCAAGCGUUGUCCGGAUUUAUUGGGCGUAAAGCGAGCGCAGGCGGUUUCUUAAGUCUGAUGUGAAAGCCCCCGGCUCAACCGGGGAGGGUCAUUGGAAACUGGGAGACUUGAGUGCAGAAGAGGAGAGUGGAAUUCCAUGUGUAGCGGUGAAAUGCGUAGAUAUAUGGAGGAACACCAGUGGCGAAGGCGACUCUCUGGUCUGUAACUGACGCUGAGGCUCGAAAGCGUGGGGAGCAAACAGGAUUAGAUACCCUGGUAGUCCACGCCGUAAACGAUGAGUGCUAAGUGUUGGAGGGUUUCCGCCCUUCAGUGCUGCAGCUAACGCAUUAAGCACUCCGCCUGGGGAGUACGACCGCAAGGUUGAAACUCAAAGGAAUUGACGGGGGCCCGCACAAGCGGUGGAGCAUGUGGUUUAAUUCGAAGCAACGCGAAGAACCUUACCAGGUCUUGACAUCCUUUGACCACUCUAGAGAUAGAGCUUCCCCUUCGGGGGCAAAGUGACAGGUGGUGCAUGGUUGUCGUCAGCUCGUGUCGUGAGAUGUUGGGUUAAGUCCCGCAACGAGCGCAACCCUUAUUGUUAGUUGCCAUCAUUUAGUUGGGCACUCUAGCAAGACUGCCGGUGACAAACCGGAGGAAGGUGGGGGAUGACGUCAAAUCAUCAUGCCCCUUAUGACCUGGGCUACACACGUGCUACAAUGGGAAGUACAACGAGUCGCGAAGUCGCGAGGCUAAGCUAAUCUCUUAAAGCUUCUCUCAGUUCGGAUUGUAGGCUGCAACUCGCCUACAUGAAGCCGGAAUCGCUAGUAAUCGCGGAUCAGCACGCCGCGGGUGAAUACGUUCCCGGGCCUUGUACACACCGCCCGUCACACCACGAAAGUUUGUAACACCC
Molecule: ribosomal RNA, 1373 nt
Filed under: Enterococcus thailandicus
Lineage: Bacteria; Bacillati; Bacillota; Bacilli; Lactobacillales; Enterococcaceae
Description: bacterial SSU rRNA
Rfam family: Bacterial small subunit ribosomal RNA
Source: RNAcentral